CCAAAACUUCAAACGUAAAUAAUAGGAUGUCUAGUUCACUAGAAGAAAACCAAAAUUUCAGAACGGGUGGCCACUCCGAAUUCCCUCACAGCUCCAAGCCCACUAUGGUUGGGGAUUUCCUGCGUGGAUGAAAAUAAAAGGGUGAGUUUGGGGAAACUCAGUGUGUAAGGAAAAAUCAUUCAAAGCCCAAGUCAGCUCCAGCCCAUUGGACCUAAGCCCAUUCAGGUAACAGUGGUACUGGGCCAGAGCCUUUUUCAGAUUACAAUAAAUUGGGCCUUAGCCCCUUAUUCAGAUAACAGUAUAGCCCAUAGGCCCAUUUCAAAAUACAUGCAACAUCAAUAACAUAUGCAAGCCCAUUUGGGGAGACUACUCAACCCACCAACCACUACACUCCACCCGUACCAGCCCUACACUCCAUGUGGGGAAUAGCUCAACCCACCCAGCCCAACACUCCACAGUUGCAGCCUUGUUGCUUAGUUAACAGUAAUUUGAGGCAAAGCCUCCAGUACAUGGAUAAGCCACUUUCAGUACU
Molecule: long non-coding RNA, 532 nt
Filed under: Gossypium barbadense (sea-island cotton)
Lineage: Eukaryota; Viridiplantae; Streptophyta; Magnoliopsida; Malvales; Malvaceae
Description: long non-coding RNA (GBAR_LNC003453)
Source: RNAcentral